Molecule: non-coding RNA, 183 nt
Filed under: Symbiodinium sp. CCMP2430
Lineage: Eukaryota; Dinophyceae; Suessiales; Symbiodiniaceae
Source: RNAcentral
CCACACGAGGCUUCACUGCAAUUUUUUUUUUUGACGACUGCUUCAAUCAGCUCGGGCUCACGGCCGCAAGCUCGCAUGGCAUGGCAAACCGCUUCAGCGCAUGAGGCUUCUUGAGUUGAACAUACAGUCAUGAAGUGCUACACGAGGUUUUCACGAAUGGCGAAAAACCACAGAAUUUCCUGC